This 253-nucleotide ribosomal RNA is filed under the name uncultured bacterium. RNAcentral's name for it is "partial 16S ribosomal RNA". It matches the Rfam family "Bacterial small subunit ribosomal RNA", at positions 524 to 776 of the family's 1533-position model. The record is from RNAcentral.
UUCGUAGGGUGCGAGCGUUAAUCGGAAUUACUGGGCGUAAAGCGUGCGCAGGCGGCGCGUUAAGACAGGUGUGAAAGCCCCGAGCUUAACUUGGGAAUUGCGCUUGUGACUGGCGUGCUGGAGUGUGGCAGAGGGAGGUGGAAUUCCACGUGUAGCAGUGAAAUGCGUAGAGAUGUGGAGGAACACCGAUGGCGAAGGCAGCCUCCUGGGCCAGCACUGACGCUCAUGCACGAAAGCGUGGGGAGCAAACAGG